Molecule: unclassified non-coding RNA, 550 nt
Filed under: Hevea brasiliensis (rubber tree)
Lineage: Eukaryota; Viridiplantae; Streptophyta; Magnoliopsida; Malpighiales; Euphorbiaceae
Source: RNAcentral
UAUUAAAGAAAAAGCCAACAAGAGGUGGAACCAAGUAUGAUAAACUCAAAUUGUACCAAGUGUGAUUAGUAGAACUAAUUAACAAAAAUUCAACUCUCAACAAUGCUAAGUGUCCAAGAAAGCUUACAUCUCAUCAACAUUAGGGUGGUAUAUUUUAUUCAGAAACCCAAUGGAAGGAGAUUUGUAUGGGUAAGCAUCUGGUAGCUCCACAUGGAUUUUCCAAACACCGCCUUCAUAAAGGCCUGCAGCCAAAGAGAUGUCAUAAAAACUUAGUGAUAAAGAAUAAAAUCUCACAUAACAAUGUCCAUUUCAAAUUUUAUUAGAGAUAAAAAAAAAAAGUAAAUAUAAGAAAAUAACUUUUUGCAGCAUUUAUACUAUAGGCACAACUCAGGUAAAAUAUCAGUAUGCCACAGUCCCCAAAUCUUGUCACCAUUCCUUCUUUGUACCUAACAUGCAUAUUUGUGCACAUAUAUGAAUUCACUCACACAACAUUUCACAUCAAAGAAAGCAGUUGUGUGGAAAGAGAAAUAGCAAAUUACUUUCUUUUGGC